ACCCUCUCAGGGUCGCACAUGGAGAGUUUCCAGUACUCUACCAGCCUCGACUAUGGGAGGGAGAGUCAAGCAGAGGCAUCACCAUUCUAUUCCAAGUUUGGGCAGUGACUAGUAAGUGGAAGGCAAUCUGCUACAAAU
Molecule: non-coding RNA, 138 nt
Organism: Ornithorhynchus anatinus (platypus)
Lineage: Eukaryota; Metazoa; Chordata; Mammalia; Monotremata; Ornithorhynchidae
Source: Rfam